GACCACCGGAGGGAUUUAAAUAGACCUCGCCCUCAAAGAAAAAGAAGGAGGAGUCUGCUAAAUAUUGUAUUCGUCGAUCGAUUAUUAUGCCGUUGCAACCAGCACCUCCAGCAGUUUCACCAACUAUUUUGUUUGAGGGUAGCACAUAGCAGAGAAAAUGGAGGUCUUCAGAAAUGGAAAUUUCUCUGCUGAUUCCCUGGUAUUCGAAGUAACUUUCUUCGUUUUCGCCUAGCUUGGAGGAAACCUGAUCUGGUAGACAUCGCACCACGCUUUGGAAUAUUGGAAACAAUUUAAUUGAGAGCAUCGCGUUAAUUUUGGUUUGAUUACCAGGCAUUUGGGAUGUUUUAAUAUGGUGUGUUGGCAAGGACAUCUACAUUCUGUGCUAGUGAGUGAUGCCUCAAGAAGCCUGUCUUUUUUCACGAAGAAGUUGAGCUUUAAAUAUCGGCAAGACUCCUUUGGUUCAAAUAAUAAGGGUAUAAUAUGAGUAUGCAAUUUUGAUUUUCAUUAUAUAGAAAUUACAAAACCCACCAUUGAAAUAAUGUUUGAUUUGUUUUUAAAUGUAUGUGUAACAACCAAUGGUCAAUGGACAAUGAUUUUUACAUGCGUCAUUAUGAGAUUUUCCAGGCAGAAAUUCUAGCAAUUCAGCAUUUGAUUAACACAACUGUGAGCAAGGAAUCAGCCUAGAGAUUGAGAGCCUCAGCAUAUUAAACUAGCCCAUAUUCCAGUUGUAGCACAAAAUUUGUACAAUCGUGAUUUUUCCGAAAUACCUAAGAAAGUCAAGUAAAUAAAGUUAAGUACGAGGCCUAAGUUAACGUCACGACAAAAGGUAAAUGUCAAAAAGCAAGUCUUGAAGUUUUUACCUCUAUUGAAUAAUUGGGAUUGCCUGUUAGUAUUUUUUUUUAAAUAUUUUUUUGUAAGUUUCUAACAUUUUUGCAAUCUUUAGGUGUUUUACAAGUGAAGAGCGUUUACGAGCAACCGAAAAUUUGUUAUCACUUCAUGAAAUCAUCCAUUUAAAGCGUUUUCUUACACAUUGAUGAUGCAAGAUAAGCUUCUCGCAUUCGCUGAAUUCCUUCCCCGCGGAUUAAAUAUGCCAUAUUUAAUUGAUCCAAAUCUAACUGGUGGGAAUUAAUGAUGGAAAUUUAACAUUUAUAUAUUCCUUUGCUAGUUCUGUCUUCUAUCAGUCAUAGAACGUUCUAUGACUGCUUCUAUCAGCUUCUAUGUAGGGAAAAACCAAUUAAUUAUCGGCGCUUUGUAAGAUACGGCAAUGAUGCACGGUCUUCCGGUCCAUCAGCUGACAGUCAAACCACAUUGGAUUUAGGAGCUAUUUUCAUCAUCCAGGAAUUAUUAUCACCUUGCUCUUAGACAGGAACCUGAAGCCUGAACAGUAUUAAGGCUGGAAUGUUAAGUACUCAUCCGUGGGUGGAAAUCUAAUUGACAAAUGUUCAAAUUGGCCAAAUAUCUUGAGACAGAAAAAACAUAGCAUAAGUUUUGCAAAAAGGAAAAAGGAGCUUCUGGCAAGACUGUUUGACAAAAAAGUCUGGAUUAGUUAAAACAAAAGUUUAGGGUGAAACUAAAUGUAACUUUCACUUCAGAAAGUUAAAACCUGAAAUACCCCCAAAUUAUUUUAUCGUUUCUUUAAGGUACCCUAUGUUGAAAUGUGUUGCUGAUGAAACAUCCCCUUAUAGACUUCCAUAAAGAUGAAGUAAGAGCCUUAGGUCGCUAGCUCGAUCUGCUCGCAGAAUUACUAGAACGUCAUAUUCGUGGUAAUAAAACUUAGAACGUCUGCAAUAUUAAAUUUUUCACUAUUUUAAAGGAAAGCUGCAAACAUAUUUUCAGCAUUGUAAAAAAAAAGGCGUUCAUUCCCUUCAACCAAUUGUUAAACCCGCGAGGUCUCGUAGGAAUCUCCCUUACGCCACUUUAAUGGUAGCUGACAGUGACUGUAAUUAUGGCCCAAUUAGCCCAUGGUUAUCAAGAGCUGCCCUCUUGGUUCUCCGACCUAGAAACUUCCAUCGUCAAAAGCUUCCAGGUUUGUUAUGGUCGUAGAACAGCAGACGACGGAGUUGGCGGCGGAAUUUUACCAUCGGGCAGAACCCAAACGGUCGAAGCAUUGAAAAAUGAUAUCGGUGAGACGUAAGUGCUGAUUCAUAUGAUGGUUGAUUAUGCUGCCAACAUGGCAGGAAAGGAGCGUACCUUGCUUAAUUGGAUUGAAAUCGCGACGUCGGAAGAAGAGCGUCUUCUUCUGGAAGAGUUGUCCAGUUGCAACCAGAAUGUUGCCACGCUACUGCUUAUUCGCAAUGUUGUUGUUCAGGGAGAUUGCCGGAUUUAAAGCUAUGGCGUAGCACUGAGCUGUGAUUAGACACAACCAAUCUGGAAUGUUCUAGCAACCUACGCCCUGAAUUUCAUAUCUAAAUAUUGUAUUUUAUAUUAAUAGGUAAAAAAAAAGGUGGUGGAUGGUU
This 2456-nucleotide long non-coding RNA is filed under the name Daphnia magna. RNAcentral describes it as "uncharacterized LOC116924197, transcript variant X15". The record is from RNAcentral. Lineage: Eukaryota; Metazoa; Arthropoda; Branchiopoda; Diplostraca; Daphniidae.